GAUGAACGCUAGCUACAGGCUUAACACAUGCAAGUCGAGGGGAAACGAUAGAGAAAGCUUGCUUUUUCUAGGCGUCGACCGGCGCACGGGUGAGUAACGCGUAUCCAACCUGCCCACCACUUGGGGAUAACCUUGCGAAAGUAAGACUAAUACCCAAUGACGUCUCUAGAAGACAUCUGAAAGAGAUUAAAGAUUUAUCGGUGAUGGAUGGGGAUGCGUCUGAUUAGCUUGUUGGCGGGGUAACGGCCCACCAAGGCAACGAUCAGUAGGGGUUCUGAGAGGAAGGUCCCCCCANAUUGGAACUGAGACACGGUCCAAAACUCCUACGGGAGGCAGCAGUGAGGAAUAUUGGUCAAUGGACGAGAGUCUGAACCAGCCAAGUAGCGUGCAGGAUGACGGCCCUAUGGGUUGUAAACUGCUUUUAUAAGGGAAUAAAGUGAGUCUCGUGAGAUUUUUGCAUGUACCUUAUGAAUAAGGACCGGCUAAUUCCGUGCCAGCAGCCGACGG
RNAcentral lists this ribosomal RNA (507 nucleotides) under uncultured bacterium. Its description in RNAcentral is "bacterial SSU rRNA". It matches the Rfam family "Bacterial small subunit ribosomal RNA", at positions 28 to 520 of the family's 1533-position model. The record is from RNAcentral.